This 420-nucleotide ribosomal RNA is filed under the name uncultured archaeon. Its description in RNAcentral is "partial 16S ribosomal RNA". It matches the Rfam family "Archaeal small subunit ribosomal RNA", at positions 323 to 746 of the family's 1478-position model. The record is from RNAcentral.
CUACGGGCGGCUGCAGUUAGGCAUAAUCUACAAUGCGCGCAAGCGUGAUAGUUUGAGCCAGAGUGCUUUACAAUAGUAAAGCUUUUGCCAAAUCUAAAUUUUGGCGAAUAAGGACUGGGUAAGAGCGAGUGCCAGCCGCCGCGGUAAUACUCGCGGUCCAAGUCGCAGCCAUUUUUAUUGGGCCUAAAACAUCCGUAGCUUGCUUAGUGAGUUUCUUGUGAAAUCCGAUAUCUCAAGUAUUGGUCGGGCAAGAAGUACUGCUAAGCUAGAGACUGGAAGACGUAACGAGUACGUUCGGAGUAUCGGUAAAAUGAGUUAAUCCCGGACGGACUAACAACAGCGAAGGCACGUUACGAGAACAGUUCUGACAGUAAGGGAUGAAGGCUAGGGGCGCAAAAGGGAUUAGAUACCCCAGUAGUC